This is a long non-coding RNA of Perca flavescens (yellow perch), 181 nucleotides long. RefSeq lists it as uncharacterized. NCBI's taxonomy places the organism in Eukaryota, Metazoa, Chordata, Actinopteri, Perciformes, Percidae. The transcript has 3 exons. The record is from RefSeq and is a predicted model, not a curated record.
UGGUGGUGGUGCUGGCUGCUGUUCUGCUUUUCUUCUACAAAAAGAGGACUAAGCACUCUGAUGGUUCAAACCAGAGAGGAAACACAGACAUCACCAGGACUGAGAUUAACAUCUAUGAGAACUGCCCUCCACUCUCCACCCGUGCAGACUCCACCUACCAGAGUCUGGAUCCAGCCUCCAG